This 1441-nucleotide ribosomal RNA is filed under the name Streptococcus thermophilus. RNAcentral's name for it is "bacterial SSU rRNA". It matches the Rfam family "Bacterial small subunit ribosomal RNA". The record is from RNAcentral. Lineage: Bacteria; Bacillati; Bacillota; Bacilli; Lactobacillales; Streptococcaceae.
GGCGGGCUAGACAUGCAGUAGAACGCUGAAGAGAGGAGCUUGCUCUUCUUGGAUGAGUUGCGAACGGGUGAGUAACGCGUAGGUAACCUGCCUUGUAGCGGGGGAUAACUAUUGGAAACGAUAGCUAAUACCGCAUAACAAUGGAUGACACAUGUCAUUUAUUUGAAAGGGGCAAUUGCUCCACUACAAGAUGGACCUGCGUUGUAUUAGCUAGUAGGUGAGGUAAUGGCUCACCUAGGCGACGAUACAUAGCCGACCUGAGAGGGUGAUCGGCCACACUGGGACUGAGACACGGCCCAGACUCCUACGGGAGGCAGCAGUAGGGAAUCUUCGGCAAUGGGGGCAACCCUGACCGAGCAACGCCGCGUGAGUGAAGAAGGUUUUCGGAUCGUAAAGCUCUGUUGUAAGUCAAGAACGGGUGUGAGAGUGGAAAGUUCACACUGUGACGGUAGCUUACCAGAAAGGGACGGCUAACUACGUGCCAGCAGCCGCGGUAAUACGUAGGUCCCGAGCGUUGUCCGGAUUUAUUGGGCGUAAAGCGAGCGCAGGCGGUUUGAUAAGUCUGAAGUUAAAGGCUGUGGCUCAACCAUAGUUCGCUUUGGAAACUGUCAAACUUGAGUGCAGAAGGGGAGAGUGGAAUUCCAUGUGUAGCGGUGAAAUGCGUAGAUAUAUGGAGGAACACCGGUGGCGAAAGCGGCUCUCUGGUCUGUAACUGACGCUGAGGCUCGAAAGCGUGGGGAGCGAACAGGAUUAGAUACCCUGGUAGUCCACGCCGUAAACGAUGAGUGCUAGGUGUUGGAUCCUUUCCGGGAUUCAGUGCCGCAGCUAACGCAUUAAGCACUCCGCCUGGGGAGUACGACCGCAAGGUUGAAACUCAAAGGAAUUGACGGGGGCCCGCACAAGCGGUGGAGCAUGUGGUUUAAUUCGAAGCAACGCGAAGAACCUUACCAGGUCUUGACAUCCCGAUGCUAUUUCUAGAGAUAGAAAGUUACUUCGGUACAUCGGUGACAGGUGGUGCAUGGUUGUCGUCAGCUCGUGUCGUGAGAUGUUGGGUUAAGUCCCGCAACGAGCGCAACCCCUAUUGUUAGUUGCCAUCAUUCAGUUGGGCACUCUAGCGAGACUGCCGGUAAUAAACCGGAGGAAGGUGGGGAUGACGUCAAAUCAUCAUGCCCCUUAUGACCUGGGCUACACACGUGCUACAAUGGUUGGUACAACGAGUUGCGAGUCGGUGACGGCGAGCUAAUCUCUUAAAGCCAAUCUCAGUUCGGAUUGUAGGCUGCAACUCGCCUACAUGAAGUCGGAAUCGCUAGUAAUCGCGGAUCAGCACGCCGCGGUGAAUACGUUCCCGGGCCUUGUACACACCGCCCGUCACACCACGAGAGUUUGUAACACCCGAAGUCGGUGAGGUAACCUUUUGGAGCCAGCCGCCUAAGAUGACAGA